Molecule: ribosomal RNA, 460 nt
Filed under: uncultured bacterium
Lineage: Bacteria
Description: partial 16S ribosomal RNA
Rfam family: Bacterial small subunit ribosomal RNA
Source: RNAcentral
CCUACGGGGGGCAGCAGUGAGGAAUAUUGGUCAAUGGACGAGAGUCUGAACCAGCCAAGUAGCGUGAAGGAUGACUGCCCUAUGGGUUGUAAACUUCUUUUAUAUGGGAAUAAAAUGUUCCACGUGUGGGAUUUUGUAUGUACCAUAUGAAUAAGGAUCGGCUAACUCCGUGCCAGCAGCCGCGGUAAUACGGAGGAUCCGAGCGUUAUCCGGAUUUAUUGGGUUUAACGGGAGCGUAGGUGGAUUGUUAAGUCAGUUGUGAAAGUUUGCGGCUCAACCGUAAAAUUGCAGUUGAAACUGGCAGUCUUGAGUACAGUAGAGGUGGGCGGAAUUCGUGGUGUAGCGGUGAAAUGCUUAGAUAUCACGAAGAACUCCGAUUGCGAAGGCAGUUCACUGGACUGCAACUGACACUGAGGCUCGAAAGUGUGGGUAUCAAACAGGAUUAGAUACCCGAGUAGUC